UGGGGAAUAUUGCACAAUGGGCGCAAGCCUGAUGCAGCCAUGCCGCGUGUAUGAAGAAGGCCUUCGGGUUGUAAAGUACUUUCAGCGAGGAGGAAGGCGUUAAGGUUAAUAACCUUAGCGAUUGACGUUACUCGCAGAAGAAGCACCGGCUAACUCCGUGCCAGCAGCCGCGGUAAUACGGAGGGUGCAAGCGUUAAUCGGAAUUACUGGGCGUAAAGCGCACGCAGGCGGUCUGUUAAGUCAGAUGUGAAAUCCCGGC
Molecule: ribosomal RNA, 259 nt
Filed under: uncultured Raoultella sp.
Lineage: Bacteria; Pseudomonadati; Pseudomonadota; Gammaproteobacteria; Enterobacterales; Enterobacteriaceae
Description: partial 16S ribosomal RNA
Rfam family: Bacterial small subunit ribosomal RNA
Source: RNAcentral